UGGGGAAUAUUGCACAAUGGGGGAAACCCUGAUGCAGCGACGCCACGUGAACGAAGAAGGUAUUCGUAUCGUAAAGUUCUGUCCUAUGGGAAGAUAAUGACAGUACCAUAGAAGAAAGCUCCGGCUAAAUACGUGCCAGCAGCCGCGGUAAUACGUAUGGAGCGAGCGUUGUCCGGAAUUAUUGGGCGUAAAGGGUACGCAGGCGGUUUAAUAAGUCGAAUGUUAAAGAUCGGGGCUCAACCCCGUAAAGCAUUGGAAACUGAUAAACUUGAGUAGUGGAGAGGAAAGUGGAAUUCCUAGUGUAGUGGUGAAAUACGUAGAUAUUAGGAGGAAUACCAGUAGCGAAGGCGACUUUCUGGACACAAACUGACGCUGAGGUACGAAAGCGUGGGGAGCAAACAGGAUUAGAUACCCCCGUAGUCCCUGAGCGGGCUGGCAAGGCGCAU
This 446-nucleotide ribosomal RNA is filed under the name uncultured bacterium. RNAcentral's name for it is "bacterial SSU rRNA". It matches the Rfam family "Bacterial small subunit ribosomal RNA", at positions 355 to 825 of the family's 1533-position model. The record is from RNAcentral.